This is a long non-coding RNA of Monodelphis domestica (gray short-tailed opossum), 648 nucleotides long. NCBI's taxonomy places the organism in Eukaryota, Metazoa, Chordata, Mammalia, Didelphimorphia, Didelphidae. The record is from Ensembl.
AUAUUUAUAGAUAGCCCAUAAGACUAUUCCCAUUCCAUUUCUGUUACUCCUACUCAUAGUCAUCUCUGCUAACCAGAAACAAAAGCAGAAUGUGAACUUCAGUCAGAAGAAUUGAUUUCUAUUCCUGAUUUUCUCCACUUAAUGCAUUUUAUGUCUAAAGGCUGAGCCCUCUAUCCACUGUGCCACCUCACUGAAGGUGAAGGGAGGGAGAACUAAAUCAGGAAGAGCUGGCAGGUACCAUACAUCUAAGCAGAAAAGGAGAGAAAUGAAGUCAAUCACACAAGAGCAGAUCAAGAAAGGAAAAUCACAACAAAAAGAAGAAACGGUCCCAAUGUGUGACACCCUGAGGGAAUGCCUGCUUCCAUCCUGUUAGUGGAAGAUAGGGUCUUGGAGAAGAAGAUCCUGGAGUGAGAAGUAGCUUCAACAAAUCACUGGAUCCAUCACACUCCUGUAUUAAGGCAGAUGAGAUCAUACUGUUCACAUUUGAAAGUCAAAUAAGUUUCCCAAUUUCAUCUGCUAAGGUAAACAUUAACAAAGAACCUCUUAAUUAGAAGUUUAAUUCUUUACCCACAGAAAAGCAAUUCCCAUACUUCUGUUUUUAAAUUAUGACACCUGGUUCAAGACUUGAAAAGUUAACCAUGCCCAACC